GACGAACGCUGGCGGCGUGCCUAAUACAUGCAAGUCGAACGAGAGCAACCGGUGCUUGCACUGGUCAAUCUAGUGGCGAACGGGUGAGCAACACGUGGGUAACCUGCCCAUCAGAGGGGGAUAACAUCCGGAAACGGAUGCUAAAACCGCAUAGGUCUUCGAACCGCAUGGUUUGAAGAGGAAAAGAGGCGCAAGCUUCUGCUGAUGGAUGGACCCGCGGUGCAUUAGCUAGUUGGUGAGGUAACGGCUCACCAAGGCCGUGAUGCAUAGCCGACCUGAGAGGGUGAUCGGCCACAUUGGGACUGAGACACGGCCCAAACUCCUACGGGAGGCAGCAGUAGGGAAUCUUCCGCAAUGGACGCAAGUCUGACGGAGCAACGCCGCGUGAGUGAAGAAGGUUUUCGGAUCGUAAAACUCUGUUGUUAGAGAAGAACAAGUGCUAGAGUAACUGUUAGCGCCUUGACGGUAUCUAACCAGAAAGCCACGGCUAACUACGUG
This 498-nucleotide ribosomal RNA is filed under the name uncultured bacterium. RNAcentral describes it as "partial 16S ribosomal RNA". It matches the Rfam family "Bacterial small subunit ribosomal RNA", at positions 28 to 507 of the family's 1533-position model. The record is from RNAcentral.